RNAcentral lists this unclassified non-coding RNA (2171 nucleotides) under Pogonomyrmex barbatus (red harvester ant). Its description in RNAcentral is "protein embryonic gonad-like, transcript variant X1". Lineage: Eukaryota; Metazoa; Arthropoda; Insecta; Hymenoptera; Formicidae. The record is from RNAcentral.
AGAGAGAGAGAGAGAGAGAGAGAGAGGCGGAGAGAGAGAAAGAUAGACACCGAGAGUAUACAAAGACGAUCACGAGCAACGAACAAGGAGGAAAAGAGGUGAAGGAAAAAAUCGCGAGGAAACAGCGGGGGAAGUAGAAAAGAAGGAGAGAAAAGAGAGAGGAAAGGCAUAGAAUAAAUAUCGGACGAGGAAGUCGUGCGUGAAUUGCGAUCAAUCGAGAUUGUAUGGUUCAAUCGGCGAAAUCGAAACGACACCGGCGUGACACCGCCACUAGCGGUCUAUGCAGAACGAGACUGAUCGAAUACAAGCGAAACUCUUGAAAGGACCAUCAGGCUAUUACACGGAAAAAAAACAACUUUCUUCAGAUUCAAGCAUUAAAUAACUGGAGGAAUAUGUGAUCGAAGAGUUGCACGAUAAAACUGAACGAAGCGUUUCUUGAGAACGAGAAAUACGAUGUGAUAAGCGAACUGAAAUAGUUGCUUUGGAGAACAUUGUAUUCUUAUUGUUAACUUAGUGACUCCGGGAAACAGGACUGGCGUUUUUGCAUAUUUGGAUUUUCAUUUUAUUUCAGUGAGAUGAACCAACAGUGCAGGGUAUGCGACGAGCCCGCAGCGGGUUUUCAUUUCGGGGCCUUCACGUGCGAGGGUUGCAAGUCAUUCUUCGGUCGCACGUAUAAUAACCCCACUAGCGUCUCGGUAUGUAAGAACGGCGGCAACUGCGUAAUUAACAAGAGGAAUCGGACGGCUUGCAAAGCCUGCCGAUUAAGGAAAUGCCUAAACGUCGGCAUGUCCAAAUCGAGCUCGCGUUACGGGCGGCGUUCCAAUUGGUUCAAAAUCACUUACUUUUCCGAGCAGAUGAGGCUAAAUAAUCGAACCACGAACGAGAUUCCAUGUCGGCCUUCCGGCAUCGCCACACCCUUCCGUUUAAAUUAUCCACCGCAAAGUGAUGGCAGUAAUGAGACGGACGGCCCGUCGACCAGUCAAGAAAAUCUGGCGGCAUCUCAAUAUUCAUACAACGCACCAACGUUGCACAGACCAGACGGAUCGCCUCGUCCCGACGACAUGGCUUUGUACCAUCAAUAUUACCUGCACCGUUUGUACUUGGGAGAACACCAGCCACAACUACCGUCCGUCAUAUCUCCAUCCACGUCGAGGGAAGUCUCAUCGUCGCCACGUGAUAAUCCUUCGCCGCGACAACGAAGUCCGUCCGCAGAAAGUUCCACGAUGUUCACUCAGGGGACAUCGUUUUACCCGUCGGAUCCUUACCGAUCGCCCAUCGCGGCGGAAUCAUCACUCUCGAGAAAUUACGUAAGACACGUCGACGGAUCCGACAGCGACGAGGACGAUCGUCUUCGUGACGUACAGUCCAGGAGCAGCUCGAGUCGAUCGCCGGUCACGCCCUCGAGAACAAACGAGCAAGAGUCGUCCAAACCUAAAGUAUCGAUCAACGGUAUGCUCAUGUUCGCGGGCCAACAUUCUCUAUUAUUCCCGGGAGGGAUGUUCUCGACGGGGGCGCACUCGUUACCACCUACAUGGAGGUAUAAUAAUCUAUUUUUGGUUAACCCUAGUACCAGUAAUUCCGGCGACGACGAACCAAUUGACCUCAGUAUGCGAGCGAGCGGCAAUUCGUCGCAAUCCAGAGAAUCACCGGAAAAAGAAGAGAAGGAGAAAGAGCAGAACGAGAAGAACGAUGGAUCGUCUACGGAAGAGACCACGACGUAUCCGCUCGAUCUAACGCGUUCCGCUGGUACGUCCUUAACGGCGAAUUGUUUUUGAAGUUCAUGAAUUGAAUUCCAAAUUAGAUUGAUUUUCUUCGCCGAUUCGAAGUCGUCUUGGUCCGAAGAGACACGUCUAAAGGUCCGUGCGAUUUUUAGAAAGGUAAUUUCGAGAGAGGUUCGAGAGGACAGAUAAUAUUCAUAAUACCUUGUUCCACUGAUGAAACAAAUAGAAAUGAAUAACGUAGCGAAUAUCUGAUGUAUAUAGAACAAUUUUCGCACUGGAAAGACAGCGAUGUGAUGUUGAUUGCAGGGAGAUGCGAGUCGUUUUGACCGCCGAUUAAGAGAUCGAAGGGACUUCGCGAUCAAUCUUGAGUGGAUGACAGCAAAGAAAAAUUCUGAAUGAUCUGCCAGAUAAAAAAAUUACCCUGCCAAGUUUGGGAUACCCCGCCGUAUC